Molecule: long non-coding RNA, 1029 nt
Filed under: Oryzias javanicus (javanese ricefish)
Lineage: Eukaryota; Metazoa; Chordata; Actinopteri; Beloniformes; Adrianichthyidae
Description: lncRNA (ENSOJAG00000007919.1)
Source: RNAcentral
GCAAAAGGGAGCUCCUCUUCAUCAGGAGCAAAUCAAUCAGAUUCUAUAAUGAUCCCAAACUAAUUUUUUAGUCUGAAACUAUAGGGGGAAAAAAAUCCCUAUUCUUAUAAUAAAUUGAGAACUUCAGUCAGUUUUUGUCUGAAUACAAGUAAAGUUUUUUAACUUUUAACAAAGACAUGAAAUUGUUUUCCAUGUUAGAUUUGCAAAAGUAUUACAAAAAUAAAUGAUACAAAAAAAAUGAGGUUCCUCACCAUUUCACAGUAUUCAAAAACAAGCAGGAAGGGAAUGGCCUCAACGCACUGCCCCAGACACUGGAGGAUGUUGGGAUGCUCCAAAAACUCUGUAUGGAUCUCCCUGUUGCAAGAAAUCAUUCUGCUCCUUGGCGUUUGCAUUUGCUUUUAACUCCUUCACCACCACUCUGGCUCCACCUGGAUCUGUGUACAUUUCACUAAGAAGCACCUGAAUGAACAAAUGAUCAAGAAAGAUGGAGGAAAAAGAGAGGUGAGUUUUAUAUAGUUUGAGCAUUUGUUCCUGUAAAUCUGAUCAGAUUUUCAUUUCUCUCCUACAAGCUUUAGAAUAAUUGUUCGUACCUGGCCGAACCAGCCAUUUCCAAUCUCCUGGAUGUAACUCAAGCUGUGACGUGCCACCUGGGAGUCUGUAGAUGGUUCUGUAAAAGCACAAAGUUCCAAAUUAUGCAAAAGCAUAAAGUUCAUAAGCCUUUAUGGUGCGAAACCUGACCUACAGCUGGUACACAUGCAUUGUGUUUGAGUGUAUUUCCGACCUGUGAUGCUGGCCAGAGGUUGCAGGUGUGGCGGUCCAGGCAGGGGAACAGGAGAGACGGCGAGGGUGUACACCUCAGCGGGCGAUUGCAUAGAAGGUGUGUCUUCCGCUGGUGGAGUGAAGUCGAUUUCAUCAUCAAAGUGAUCUUCAAACUCCUAGUGGGGGAAAAAUGACAACCACAUAUUAAGAUCAUAAAAUAUUUAUUCAGGCUGGAUUAUAAAGAAACCCUAUGGAAGUUUGUAAUUGAAC